UACGUAUGGUGCAAGCGUUGUUCGGAAUGACUGGGCGUAAAGGGCGUGUAGGUGGUUAAGCAAGUUAGGUGUGAAAAUUUCGGGCUCAACCCGAAAACUGCGCCUAAAACUACUUAUCUUGAGUUUGGGAGAGGAGAACGGAACUUCCAGUGUAGGGGUGAAAUCUGUAAAUAUUGGAAGGAACACCAGUGGCGAAGGCGGUUCUCUGGCCCACAACUGACAUUGAAACGCGAAAGCCAGGGGAG
Molecule: ribosomal RNA, 245 nt
Filed under: uncultured bacterium
Lineage: Bacteria
Description: partial 16S ribosomal RNA
Rfam family: Bacterial small subunit ribosomal RNA
Source: RNAcentral